RNAcentral lists this long non-coding RNA (585 nucleotides) under Lupinus mutabilis. Its description in RNAcentral is "partial ncRNA". The record is from RNAcentral. Lineage: Eukaryota; Viridiplantae; Streptophyta; Magnoliopsida; Fabales; Fabaceae.
CAAACCAAACACAAAAACCAAACCAAACACAAAAACCAAACACUCUUCACUCUCUCUCUCUCUCUCUUCACUCUGUUUUCACUUACUCACUUACCAUUUUCUAUGGAGUUCUACUUCAUCUGUGAUCGUUAGAUCUCAAUGUGAGUGAAUGAAGUAGCGUGUAUCUCAAUCCACCAUUCCAACUUCACCUGUUUGGAGAGUUGAUGUGAGCAGCAUCUUCCUACUUGGAUCCAUCUCACAUAGCUAAAAUCUAGUGAAGUAUUGGAGCUGGCACUGGAGUAGUGAGAAUGAGUCUAUUUGAAUUUUGUUGUGUGUUGUUGAUUAUUGUAUCUAGUGUUGUAGUAGCUGGGAAGGGUGAGGUUUACAUUGUAACUGUUGAAGGUGAGCCUAUUAUAAGUUAUGCAGGAGGUAUUGAUGGCUUUCAAGCUACGUCGGUCGAAUCCGAUGAAAGUAUUGACACUACAAGUGAAUUGGUCACAUCUUACGGUCGUCAUCUCGAAAAGAAACACGAUAUGCUUCUCGGGAUGGUGUUUGAGCAAGGGACAUAUAGGAAACUUUAUAGCUAUCGACAUCUUCUAAAUGGGU